AUCCCAUGAUGAGGAAACUUACGAAGUAACUCCUUGAAUCACUCCCAAGUCUCAUACAAAGAUUCGUCGUCCAAUUGUUGGAAAGUUGUGAUAUCGUUCCUUAACUU
RNAcentral lists this small nucleolar RNA (107 nucleotides) under Gossypium raimondii (Peruvian cotton). Its description in RNAcentral is "snoRNA LOC128032959". It matches the Rfam family "Plant small nucleolar RNA R71". From Rfam's summary of the family: R71 is a member of the C/D box family of snoRNAs containing the C (UGAUGA) and D (CUGA) box motifs. Multiple nearly identical copies of this snoRNA have been identified in Arabidopsis, and it is thought to function as a 2'-O-ribose methylation guide for 18S ribosomal RNA. Lineage: Eukaryota; Viridiplantae; Streptophyta; Magnoliopsida; Malvales; Malvaceae. The record is from Rfam by way of RNAcentral.